RNAcentral lists this ribosomal RNA (499 nucleotides) under uncultured bacterium. RNAcentral describes it as "bacterial SSU rRNA". It matches the Rfam family "Bacterial small subunit ribosomal RNA", at positions 1 to 525 of the family's 1533-position model. The record is from RNAcentral.
GCGAUGUUUGAUCCUGGCUCAGAACGAACGCUGGCGGCAGGCCUCAAACAUGCAAGUCUAGGGGGUGUAGCAAUACAUCACCGGCGGACGGGUGCGUAACACGUGGGAAUAUACCUUUUGGUUCGGAACAACACAGGGAAACUUGUGCUAAUACCGGAUAAGCCCUUACGGGGAAAGAUUUAUCGCCGAAAGAUCGGCCCGCGUCUGAUUAGCUAGUUGGUGAGGUAACGGCUCACCAAGGCGACGAUCAGUAGCUGGUCUGAGAGGAUGAUCAGCCACAUUGGGACUGAGACACGGCCCAAACUCCUACGGGAGGCAGCAGUGGGGAAUCUUGCGCAAUGGGCGAAAGCCUGACGCAGCGACGCCGCGUGGGGGAAGAAGGCUUUCGGGUUGUAAACCCCUUUCAGGAAGGACGAAGCCACUCGGGUUAAUAGCCCAGAGGGUGACGGUACUUCCAGAAGAAGCCCCGGCUAACUACGUGCCAGCAGCCGCGGUAAUA